GGGAAGGGGCAAAGGCAGGGUUUGGCUGCAGGAGCAGGCACCUGCCUGCAGCUGUGUGUGUGUGGGGAGCCUGGUUUUGCCUGAAAUCACUUCCUUUUGGUGUUGAGGGGUGGGGGUGCUGCGUGGUGUGGUGGGUUGUGCUGAGAGCCCACGACCCCAGGCUGGCCAGCAGCCAUUGCUCGGUGCCCCCAGCCCACAUUUGGGUGGGCUGGGACCCUGCUGGGGCUCCCUUUUCAGAGCAGCUCUGACUGUAGCUUGCCCCAGGGCCAGGAGCCCCGCUGGAAACCCUCCAAACGCCCCCGUGCUGCCUUCUGCUGCUGGCUGGGGCUUCGCCUCGAGCGGCUCUACCCAAAGGCAUCUGCAAGGAGACGACGUCGCCGCUCCCUGCGGGCAGGCAGCCAGCCCGGAUUGCUUCCUCGGCCACCGCAGCUGGCAAUUAAACCCCGGCGAUCGCCAGCAACCCCUGCCUGACCCAGCUGCUGUGCCGAAGCGCCCCGACCUGGCAUUAUCGUGGCUGCUUUUGUGCAGCAAAUAACAGCUCCAGAAACGCCGUGAUGUUUGGGAACACCGCAGCGCCCACCUCUCUUGCCUGUGCUCCCUCAUGCAGGACUGAAGACGCGGCGUGACUUUCCAUUCCCUUCUUAUCUCUGUCCCCAGAGGACGUCGUUAUUUCUGCUCAGACUAUUCAAGCACAAACGUUUGAUGGUAGCCCCGCUGCAGGAAGCCAUCUGAAGACAUUUGGGAGAGCGGAGGGCGGUGAGCGCAGGUGGGGCGCAGAUUUCCUCUCCCCCCUUGCAGCCACACGAGCAAUCGCACUCCAGGUAACGCUGCCAGCAGAGCAAGCAGCAGGAGACGAGCUCGCUGCUUGGCUAUUACACAAGCAAACCACCAAGAGUCGGAGCCCAGCCGGAUCCAUCCCCAGCACAUGCAUUAUCCCCUACCAGCACUGCCAAGGAACGAGGAGGUUUUGUGGUUGUUUGCAUCCCAUGGAGGCAACUAAGAUGGCAGGAGAAGCUGGCUGUUUGGAGGCAGGAGCAGCAGACAGGAGCCGGGCUUUCUUGGCUGCGGCAGGGGACGCACAGAGGGCCCUGAGCUCCAGCCCGGCGGCCCCGUGGCACGGUUAAAUUGAUUGAACGAUAUCAGUCAGCAUCCACAGAAAUGUCAGGAGGUACUUUAGCACAUCCAGGCCACGCACGAGUGUAUCAUAUUCUGACCUCUGUUAACUGUGGCAUUGAUUAAUUCAGGGUUUCCCUCAGCCAGGGGAAUACACAGCACACUGUUUAUAAACACACACAAACACCACGGACGAUACCGAAGGCAGCACACACGCAACACUGAGCACCACCAAACCCACGCAGGACACACGCAAACACGAAGCCAGGAGUCACACGGAUGCCCAGAGGGGCUGCAGCCUCGCACCUGGGGAGCUGGGGAAUUGAAUAUCCCUGCGGUGCCUGUUAGCGCUGCACGUUCUGCUGCCUGCUCUUCAGCUCCAGGAAAUAAUUAGCUUUAUUUCCAGUCUGCUACCAAAAAAAUGCACAUCCCAGUGACCUUCAAAACCGCUGAACAUUACACUGCAAAAUGUAUGCGUUGUACAUGCUGCUAGAGAAUGAUGAGUAGGAAAUACACUUUUUUAAGCAAGUAUUGAAGAGAACACUAUUUCUUACAACAUUUCGGUUCCAGCUGCUGCUACCCUGCUGGCUAGCACCAAGCAGCACGAGGAGAGCAGCUUCUUCGCUGGGUUUCUGUAGGAGCCCUUCUCCAAUGUAACUUCCUGGAAAUUGUCACAAGGAAUGGCUUUGAAGCGCACAUUAGAAUAAUACCCAGACAAUAAUGGCAAAAACAUGGUUCAGAAAUGAAAAGGAGAGCAUUAUGAAGCCUAAGUGGCGUUUUCUUGCCCAUUACUGCAAUCAUCACCGCUGCAGAGUAUUUAAAUAUUUUAGGAAACAGAAGAGGCCUUCUUGGUCGGCAGCGCGAGGCCGGCGUUAAUGGGUUUUGGUUUGCUCUGCCUCCCCUCCGAGUGACUGCGUGGCGCUGGUGCUGUUUAGCAACACGAUCAGGUCAGCGACGGCAACUUGCUGCGCUUCUCCUGCUGCUUUUUGCACGCUCCCAUUGCAGGGAGCC
Molecule: long non-coding RNA, 2124 nt
Filed under: Anas platyrhynchos platyrhynchos (common mallard)
Lineage: Eukaryota; Metazoa; Chordata; Aves; Anseriformes; Anatidae
Description: lncRNA (ENSAPLG00000026162.1)
Source: RNAcentral